This 578-nucleotide unclassified non-coding RNA is filed under the name Hevea brasiliensis (rubber tree). Lineage: Eukaryota; Viridiplantae; Streptophyta; Magnoliopsida; Malpighiales; Euphorbiaceae. The record is from RNAcentral.
GCAAAGUCUUAACUAAUUAAAUAUAACAAUUCAAAACAGGAGUCUUCACUAUUUUCCCCAACUGCAAUGUCAAGUCAUUCUCCAUCGGCGUUAAGUUCAGAUCCAAGCACAAAAUUCUCUUACUUGUCGAUUUCUUCAUAAGUGGCACUGGUGACAGAGACUGAGUCACCAACCCAUCACCUGUAUUAUUAUUAUUUCCCCUAUGCCUUCUCAUGUGACCUCCUAAAGCUUGUCCAAUGGGGAACUCAAGGCCACAGAUAGAGCACUCGUGAAUUUUAGGCUUAGGGGGUGAACUGGGUAGUUUGAGCAAAUCAUCUCCCAUGAGUUUCGGUUUCUUGUGGCUUGCACGGUGGCCACCCAAUGCUUGGAACGAUGUGAAUUUCCUGUUACAUGUCUUGCAUGCAAAUAAACGACCAGUGGUUUCAUCAGUUUGACCAACUUUAGAGAGCAGCAUCAAGCAACUGGCCAUAUCCAUGGCGGUCUCCAUUCCUGCAGCUUCCUCUCUAUAUCUUUUCAUAUCUAAACUUACUUAACACAAGAAUAGCAAAUAACGUGAAAGUGAAGGUUUUUAAUUUGGC